This 314-nucleotide long non-coding RNA is filed under the name Gossypium raimondii (Peruvian cotton). RNAcentral's name for it is "long non-coding RNA (GRAI_LNC006319)". The record is from RNAcentral. Lineage: Eukaryota; Viridiplantae; Streptophyta; Magnoliopsida; Malvales; Malvaceae.
UUGAUUCCACAAGGAACCUUGAAAUUACCCCUAAGCCGGAUGAAUCCCCAUAAACCCUACUUACUAGAUCGCAAGAAGAACCAAUUGAGCAAAAAGAUCUUAGAAUUGAAGCAAGAAAAAAGAGGAAGAGACUUAAGAAAGAAAAAGAAAAAAAACUAACGUUAAAGGGAAAUUUUUACAGAGAGGCAAAACGUGGGAAUAGAGGGAAUUUUAGGAAAAAUAAAUUGAAAAUAAAAAUAAAUUUUAAGAUAAUACUCUCAAGUCCUUACUACCCUCACUACCAACCACUCCCACAAAAUCCUCAUCCAACGACC